UCCUACUUCCUCAUUAUGCAGACAUAAGCACACUUGGUACCAGUUUCAUCCUAAAAACAGAUUAUAGUGGUAAAAUUACAAAGGAUACAUUUUUUUGUGCCAUUUAGGCGAUUAAUUUGCUAUGGGCUCGCGCUAUAGUGUUCCAGUUUAGCCUACGUUAUUUUGCCAUUUUUCAGCCUUAGGUGAAUUUGGACAUUCUAUUGUCCAGCCUACUCCAGUACAGACCAGAAAUAGAAGUCUCAUCAGGACAUCAACAAAUACAGCGUCUGAUCUGAGUGUGCCAAUGCCACCGCAGCAUCAAGAGGCUGAUACUCAAUGGGAGGUUCCAGCACUGACUGAUCACAGCUAAGUGUCAAGAGAACCAGUCAACAAGCCCACCUGCCACAAACAAACCCAAUGUGGUGGUGCAGAGCCAUUGACCCACACCAUGUUGAAGAAUGACACUAGCUCUGUGUUGUAUACUGGCCUUCCUCUUAGUGGUUUCUUUGACCAUGUAGCAUUUCUGCAGCAAUUUGACACAUGCAUAUCACUGAUCGAAUACUGAUAACCUUGAUGAAGCUGAAUCUAUUCCAGGGUGAUCUUGCUGAACGCUUUGCUGUGUCCCAGGGAGUAGGGAGCAGAGUCCUUUCCUACUGGAUUGGCACAAUGGAAGAGCACAUGAGGAUCUACAUUCCAUGGAGGCUGAAGACAAUCCAGAAAAAAUGCCUCAGUGCUUCAAAGAGAAGUUCCCCAACACCACUUGUAUCAUCGAUUGCUAUAAAAACACUCUUCAGAUAGCACAUAUUAUCGAUUCCAGAGGGAGGUCAUACAGCCACUAUUAUUCCAGCAAUACUCUACAGUAUUUGGUUGUCUUUGCUCCAUGUGAACUCAUUAUGUUCAUUUCUCCUGCAUAUAGAGGCAGAUGCAGUGACCAGUUCAUCACCCAAAACUCUGUCUUCCUGGAAUUAGGCCUUCGCAAUGAAGUUAUGGCACUUGCUUCACCAUCUGAGAUCUGCUGUAUGAGAGGAAGAUAAACCAUGCCAUACUGUAGCAGCCUUCCCUCAGAAAGGAGGCCAGCUGUCUGACGAGGAGGAUGGCUAAUGUGCGUACACAUGUUGAGAGUUAUCAGACCACACAAGGUGUUAGAAAUCCUCUCCCAGACUGUUCCCAUCAAUCUGAAAUGUAACUUUAUACAUUAUAAUUUCAUCCACAUGAUAUAUAUAUAUAUAUAUAUAUAUAUAUAUAAUUAUAUUAGUUUCCUGUUAAAUCUGAAUCAUUUUAAUGUUCCUACAUUUGAAAUGUACUGUAACUUUGCCUGUUCCUGAUAAUUACAGGCAUCCACUAGGUGCCGCUAUCAUGCCUUCUUAAAUGUAUUUAAAAUACCUUUUCUUCAACACCAAAAUGUCUCUAACAGACCAAGAGGGAAGACAACUGUUUAUCAAGUGCCACACUUUUGUUCAUUUGUGCCCUUGAACACCAAACCCAGAAUCAAGCUGAAAACACAUUUCAAACCCUUAGACAUGCCUCCUCAUCCUUAAUUUCAAAAUGUUAAGUAUAAAAGAAAAUGUCAACAAA
Molecule: long non-coding RNA, 1554 nt
Organism: Oncorhynchus nerka (sockeye salmon)
Lineage: Eukaryota; Metazoa; Chordata; Actinopteri; Salmoniformes; Salmonidae
Exons: 2
Source: RefSeq, a predicted model, not a curated record